This 253-nucleotide ribosomal RNA is filed under the name uncultured bacterium. RNAcentral describes it as "partial 16S ribosomal RNA". It matches the Rfam family "Bacterial small subunit ribosomal RNA", at positions 524 to 776 of the family's 1533-position model. The record is from RNAcentral.
UACAGAGGUCUCAAGCGUUGUUCGGAUUCAUUGGGCGUAAAGGGUGCGUAGGCGGCGCGGUAAGUCGGGUGUGAAAUCUUGGAGCUUAACUCCGAAACUGCAUUCGAUACUGCCGUGCUUGAGGACUGGAGAGGAGACUGGAAUUUACGGUGUAGCGGUGAAAUGCGUAGAUAUCUGGAGGAACACCGGUGGCGAAGGCGGCAUCCUGGACCAACACUGACGCUGAGGAGCGAAAGCCAGGGGAGCAAACGGG